AYUAUUGGACUUUACUUUUAAAAACAAUUAUCGGAAAACGCAUAAACCUAGCUGUUCGUAUGGAUUUGGAGUGUGGAGUAUUUCUUCCAAAGUAUUCAAUCAAGAACUUGGCUACAUGGAUCGCUUUGGUUUUUCGAUCGAUUCAAUCGUUCUUCCCAUCUCAGCUCUCGAUUAUAUGACGGGCUACUACAGAACACGAGGGAAACACAAUAGUACUUGUCUCCAAAAUAAGUACAACUACAGAGAACUAAGCAAUURACCACACAACAGGGAAUUUGAGGGACAGACCCAGAAAUUUCCCUAAAGGAAAUAGUUGGGCAGCCUAUGGAUUGCCUGAGUAGUGCAUGCUGUCCUAAUCAGAAAGCCAGGGGAGCACAGGAGAUUGGGGCAAGUGAAGAGGAAUAAAA
Exaiptasia diaphana is the source of this 407-nucleotide long non-coding RNA. RefSeq lists it as uncharacterized. The record is from RefSeq and is a predicted model, not a curated record. The transcript has 3 exons. NCBI's taxonomy places the organism in Eukaryota, Metazoa, Cnidaria, Anthozoa, Actiniaria, Aiptasiidae.